This 938-nucleotide long non-coding RNA is filed under the name Marmota monax (woodchuck). Lineage: Eukaryota; Metazoa; Chordata; Mammalia; Rodentia; Sciuridae. The record is from RNAcentral.
UGGACUAGGCAAUCCUCUCUCCCUUCUCUCUGACACACCUGCAGGGAAAGACGGGAACCCUGUACCACACCAGGGCCAGCCUAGAGGCCUUCUGGAGUGCUGUCUGGGAUCUUGGCCCCUGGGCUUCUCAGCCAUUGCCGCUGCCUGGAUGUGAUAAAGAAAGGAUCCUGCGGAAGGCUGGGGUUGUCCCCUCCUCCACAGGGUCCAUCUUCCAGGGCUGCCUCUCAGGGCCUGGCACCUGGUGAUGGACCCCGGAAGGGGUGGCUCCAGCUCUCCCCCUCUUCCUCCUCCCCUCCUUCAAGUCAACAGGGCCUGCAGCGAUGAACAGCUGGGCCAAGAGGCAAAACUUGGUGCUGUUGUGGAGCCUGGCUCCAGGGCCCCAGAUGGAGGCGUCCACGUGUGGUGUGGUGCCAGAAGAGACCUGGAGGAGUUGACCUUCCAUGGGACAUGCAGAUAGCCUCCCCAUAGGGCCUGGCCUUCAGCACUGCCCACUACCCAUGUGCCCAGCAACCCAGCUCCACUAACAUCAUGAUGCAGUGGCUGCUGGGCAUGAGCCCGGUCCUCCCUCCAGGCUCAGAAGAGCUGCAACGCAGACCACUGAGAACAAAAGACCAAGACCCCUAGGAGGUCCAGGCAGCAGAGGUUCUGUGCAGCUGGGCAGCUGGGGCAGCUGGGGCAGCUGGGGGUGAGGGAGAUGCAGACCGCCAGCACUCAGACUGCAGGGGCAUGUUGCACAUCUGAGGUGGAGUCGGUCCCAUUCAGGGCGAAACCCGGGAGAGCCUGGGCACUGAGGCUCUGAGGAAAGAGGACACGAUGUGGGAGGCAGCAAAUGGGCCACCCACAGGGGAGACGGCACAGAAAUUACUGAAAACAGGCCCACGCAUCCCACCCGAGAUCCUUUAGAGGUAAGGCCUUGCACACUCACACAUCGAGAUGAG